GGGAUAGAAUUCCAGGAGUAGCGGUGAAAUGCGUAGAUAUCUGGAGGAAUACCAAAGGCGAAGGCAGUCCCCUGGUCCGAUACUGACACUGAGGUACGAAAGCGUGGGGAGCAAACAGGAUUAGAUACCCUGGUAGUCCACGCCCUAAACGAUGUCGAUUAGCCAUUGGAAGGACCCCUUUUCCUUUCAGUGACGUAGCUAACGCGUUAAAUCGACCGCCUGGGAAGUACGACCGCAAGGUUAAAACUCAAAGGAAUUGACGGGGACCUGAACAAGCGGUGAAUGAUGUGGAUUAAUUCGAUGCUACGCGAAGAACCUUACCUACCUUUGACAUGGCCAAAGUUCUACCGAGAGGCGGAAGUACUCGUAAGAGGAUUGGCGCACAGGUGCUGCAUGGUUGUCGUCAGUUCGUGUCGUGAGAUGUUGGGUUCAGUCCCGCAACGAACGCAACCCUUAUCUUUAAUUGCUCCUAUUUUAACAGGCACUUUAAAGAAACUGCCAAUGAUAAGUUGGAGGAAGGUGGGGAUCACGUCAAGUCCGCAUGGCCUUUAUAGGUAGGGCUUCACACGUCAUACAAUGGUUAGAACAAAGAGCUGCAAAUUCGUAAGAAGGAGCCAAUCUCACAAACCUAACCUCAGUUCGAAUUGCGGUCUGCAACUCGAGCGCAUGAAGCCGGAAUCGCUAGUAAUCGUGGAUCAGAAUGCCACGGUGAAUACGUUCUUAGGUCUU
RNAcentral lists this ribosomal RNA (729 nucleotides) under Candidatus Tremblayella phenacoccinincola. RNAcentral describes it as "bacterial SSU rRNA". It matches the Rfam family "Bacterial small subunit ribosomal RNA", at positions 658 to 1382 of the family's 1533-position model. The record is from RNAcentral. Lineage: Bacteria; Pseudomonadati; Pseudomonadota; Betaproteobacteria.